Small nuclear RNA from Thalassophryne amazonica, 162 nucleotides. RefSeq annotates it as U1 spliceosomal RNA. The transcript has a single exon. Lineage: Eukaryota; Metazoa; Chordata; Actinopteri; Batrachoidiformes; Batrachoididae. The record is from RefSeq and is a predicted model, not a curated record.
AUACUUACCUGGCAGUGGCGAAGCCAUGAUCAAGAAGGUGGUUCCCCAGAGUGAGGCUCAGCCAUUGCACUGCGCCUGACUGACCUUUGCAAGUUCCGCAAAUGUGGGAAUCUCGACUGCUUAAUUUAUGGUAGUAGGGGACUGCUUUCGCACUGACCCAUG